This 409-nucleotide unclassified non-coding RNA is filed under the name Hevea brasiliensis (rubber tree). The record is from RNAcentral. Lineage: Eukaryota; Viridiplantae; Streptophyta; Magnoliopsida; Malpighiales; Euphorbiaceae.
CCAACCAUUUAAUUCUUCUCUCUCCACAAAAAAUCGAAAGAGUCUUCAGUUCCAACUCAAACACAACCAAAGCCAUUACCGCCCUUGGCUUGGUAGAGACUGAGAGGUAGUAUCGGAAAUGGACUCGCCGACGUCGAACGGGGGAUCGUCGGCUCGGAUCGUGCCUGCACGAUCGUCUAUGAUUGAGUCUAUCCGUGGCUGCGGUUUGUCGGGGGUACGAAUUGAUAAGGAGAGCUUGAAGAGGAAGCUGCUGAUUCCGCAUUAUCUGCGUCACGCUAUUCGCGAUGCCAUCAGGUCCAGGGACCCUACCAGCGAAGCCGAGCGUUACUUCAAUACCAGUAAAGUUGACAACCGUGAGGAGGCUCCUGAGGGUCCUAUGGCGGGUUUUGUCAAUUCUAGGAGGGGGGGG